UGGUGGAGUGAUUUGUCUGGUUAAUUCCGUUAACGAACGAGACCUUAACCUGCUAAGUAUGCCGCGCUAACCCGUCCAUCAAAACCCAUGCGUGGCUCACGCGGUCCGCUGCGGGGUGGUGUCGCUUCGCGGCGACGUCAUCCCGCCGGCAGGGCCCGGGUCCGUGUGGGCGGUAGGGUUCGGCGUCCGUGCUUCUUAGAGGGACUGCUGCGCGCCUAGCCAGCGGAAGUUUGAGGCAAUAACA
Molecule: ribosomal RNA, 244 nt
Filed under: uncultured eukaryote
Lineage: Eukaryota
Description: partial 18S ribosomal RNA
Rfam family: Eukaryotic small subunit ribosomal RNA
Source: RNAcentral